Molecule: long non-coding RNA, 610 nt
Filed under: Macaca nemestrina (pig-tailed macaque)
Lineage: Eukaryota; Metazoa; Chordata; Mammalia; Primates; Cercopithecidae
Description: lncRNA (ENSMNEG00000046192.1)
Source: RNAcentral
CCAGAUUUACACAGCUGGAUCCACCGCUGGGCUCACCUGCGCAUUCUGGCUUCCUGGGUCCUGCCUGGGAGAGGAAGGGGUGCAGAGAGUGGAGAAAGUUGGACAGGAGAGGGAGCUACCAUUGCUCCUGGCCUCAUCUGUGUCUGAAGAAUGAUUACCCUGAGGGGUUUCUCUACUUAUCUCCUCCCUGGAUGGCUGUAUAAGCCAGAUGAUGGUUACCUGAACACUCCAGAAAAAGAAUUCACAGAGGGUUUCACAGGGCACAGCCUCGCAGUCUGGAGGGAGAAGAGGGCAAAGCGGUCUUCACGGACGCCACCUACUGCCUGGCUGGGCAGAGAGCCAGUGGAUCAGAGAGGCCGGCUCUGUUCUUGGCAGGAAAUGAGGAGCUGGCAUGGAAAUGCCACCCAGGCUGGGAACAAGAUCUAUGGAGUGGCAGCCUGAGUGGGUGAGGUGAUCCAGAGUCCUAACUGUCUCCUCUCUCAUCCCUUCAACCAAACUUUCCUGAGCAACUCUGAUGCCAGGCAUUUCUAGCACUGUGACAGAACCUGAGGACAGAGGGCCCUGCUUCAAAGGUAACCACCUGCCUCCUUCUGCUAUCACAGGGCUGACC